UACGUAGGGUGCAAGCGUUGUCCGGAAUUAUUGGGCGUAAAGAGCUCGUAGGCGGCUUGUCGCGUCGGCUGUGAAAACCUGGGGCUCAACCCCGGGCCUGCAGCCGAUACGGGCAAGCUAGAAUUCGGUAGGGGAGACUGGAAUUCCUGGUGUAGCGGUGAAAUGCGCAGAUAUCAGGAGGAACACCGGUGGCGAAGGCGGGUCUUUGGGCCGAAAUUGACGCUGAGGAGCGAAAGCGUGGGGAGCGAACAGG
RNAcentral lists this ribosomal RNA (253 nucleotides) under uncultured bacterium. RNAcentral describes it as "partial 16S ribosomal RNA". It matches the Rfam family "Bacterial small subunit ribosomal RNA", at positions 524 to 776 of the family's 1533-position model. The record is from RNAcentral.